Molecule: long non-coding RNA, 4877 nt
Organism: Trichechus manatus latirostris (Florida manatee)
Lineage: Eukaryota; Metazoa; Chordata; Mammalia; Sirenia; Trichechidae
Exons: 2
Source: RefSeq, a predicted model, not a curated record
GUCUGUGCGUCUCCAUGGCAAGACAGAUACUGGACUUUACUCCUGGAUACUAGGAAACAGUCUCUUCUCUUCAAAAUCUUGCACAGUGAGGCAAGAGACGCCCAGUCACUCCUGAAAAUGCAUCACUUCACUGUUAAUAACGAGGAGUUGAAAGAGUCAUUUUCCUCUCUCUCAAAUUGAUUUUUUUCUCACAUUGUAUUUUUUAGAAUUCUUAUUUGCAAUCAGCUGGUGUUUCUCUCACUCUGUCACUCACUCACCCCCAAGUAAGAGUAAAAAAUGGCACAAAAAGCAUGAAUCCAGUGCCCUUUAGGAAACCCUGGUGGCGCAGUGGUUAUGAGCUACGGCUGCUAACCAAAAGGUCAGCAGUUCAAAUUCACCAGGUGCCCCUUGGAAACUCUAUGGAGCAGUUCUACUCUGUCCUAUAGGGCCACUAUGAGUCGGAAUCGACUCAAUGGCAACGGGUUAUCUGUUAUCUGCUCAGAAGGCUGCCCAGGUCUGUGGUACUAUAAAUUAUACUUGUGUCUGUUGUUGUUGUUGCUGGGUGCCGCUGAGUUGAUUUUUCACUCACAGCAACCCCAUAUAUUACAGAGUAGAACUGCCCCAUAGGGUUUUCUAGGCUGUAAUCUUUACAGGAGCAGAUUGCCAGGUCUUUCUCUUGCAGAGCCACUGGGUGGAUUUGAACCGCCAACCUUUCGGGUUAGCAGCUGAACACUUUACCACUGCACCACCAUGGCUCCUAGUGAACUACAAAAGGUCAGUCACUGCAAGAACCUUAGAGCUGUCCUCAGGGCUCCCAAGGCAGUAGGUCAAGGAGGGGGGCCCAGGCACCUGCAUUUUCACAACCUCCCUAGGUGACUGAAGCAUCUCAAGAUGAGAACCAUGCUGGAAUAGAACACGCUGCCAUUAAAGAUAACGUCAGAGGUCAGCCCUGUGGAACCAGUCUCACAGUGUUCUCACUUGCUGAGCCCAACCAGAAGCCAGAGGCAAAGGAGACUACUGAUAUAGUCCAUAGAGAUUGAUGUUCAAGGGCACAGAGCAGAGAGGGUGGGAAGUGUUUGGAUUCAGAGGCGCAAAGGGAAGAUGCCCAGCACAACACCUCUAAAGAAAACAUGCCAGGGAAGGUCAAACCUUUCGCAUCUUCACAAAGAACAGCAUUCCACACACACUCUGCUGAAGCUUCCGCCGCCUCUGCCACGCCCACGGACUCAAGCAUCUGAUUGGACUGGUAAGUGCUGAAUCAUACCAGUGAUUUUUGAAAGGACACAACUUUUUCCAGAGGAGGAUUUAAAAAGAAACUCACAAAUGCAUUUAUGAAAUACUUACCGAGCACUUACUUCAUGAAACUAACUAUAUUUUACUUUAGCCAGUGUAAGACCUCAGUGUAAUGUAUGAUAAACUGAACAGGGCUGCUGCUGUUGUUAGUUGCUUUGAGUUGGCUUACAAAGUUUAACGACGCCCCUGUUCCUAUUCUUCUAAAAGAAGCAAAAAUAAAUAUAAUAAAAAAAGAAAAUUUCUCAUGUUUUUAGACUGGGAAAAAUUUUAGCUUUAAUCAAACAUUUUUUCUUUUAAACAUAUAUGAUUUUCCAAUCAGGUUUCACCUCCAUAUUGAAAAAAACCAGUUACUGUUGACUCCAACUCAUCGAGGCCUCGUGUGUCAGAGUACAACUGUGCUCCACAGGGUUUUUAAUGGCCGAUUUUUUGGAAGUAGAUCACCAGGUCUUUCUUCCAAGGUGCCUCUGGUGGACUCAAUUUGCCAACCUUUCAGUUCGUGGCUCAGUGUGUUAAAUGUCUGCACCACUCAGGGACUAUACCUCCAUACUGCCAGAUGGUUAAAUGCAUACUACAGCAUCAGGUGGCCCAAAACAAAUGGGUUGAGGGAUGGAUUUAUUCCAAUUUUUCAACUUCCACUAACCUAACAUUAGUUCCAUUAAACUAAAGAAGUUUUCAGAAGGAACUGUAUUUGAUUGCCAUUCUCUACUCUACGGUCACCUGCAGUGGGUUACCUGAUAAACGACUUAUAAGCUUCCCUGGAUCCAUCUAUACCUGUUUCACUGGCAUAGUGAAGGCAGCAAUCCUGAGUUCUCUGGAUUAGCAGCAUGGGCCAGGGAGCGAUGUGUGCUCUGGGGAUACACCAGGUCAUUUCAGAGGCACAUGACAGGUGGUAGGUGGUAUUAAACAACACAGAAUCACAAAAUGAGAAGGGGAUUCCUUUUUCAAUCCUUUUCAAGCCUUCUCAAACACCAGAGCUUCUGUCGGAUGUUAGCAUGUCUGCAACACCUCUCUCUAUACCACCUGCUAAUCUCUCUCUUCAUCAGAGACAGGUGAGGCUUUAGGCUCGGUGUCUUCACAGGCAAAGCGCAUUUACAAGAAUUUGGUUAACACUCUUAUUUUCAUAAUUACCAUCUAUUUAUAUCAAAUGAUACUGGUUUCCAACUCUAGGCAGUUAUAUAAGUUUCUUCUAAAAAUAAAUUUUAAAAAAGUAAAUACAUUUAGUUUACUACGUAAAAUAAAUUUAAGAGAAAAUAUUACAUAAAUAAUAUAGGUUUUACAUAGAUAUGGCAAAAGUCAGCAAGUGGUAUAUAAAUGACUAGAGUCUGAGAAACACGGAUCUAACGCUAAGUAUACCUCAUGAGUCAGGAGACCUGGAUUUUAGUUCUUACUGCCUUCACAUAGGCAAUAAUGUCUAAUUUUAUUGGCUUAUAAAUAAACAAUUCUGUCCUUGAAGAUGAAGAUAGUAGCUCUUCUGGUCAAAGGGUUGCAGCUCAAAGAGAGCAAUAAAAAUUUAGUAAAACUGCUUUGUAAUCUGAAUCCUAUCUUGUCCAUACAACCUAACAAAGAUGCCCGUGAUAAAUGAUUAAACAUUAAGGUUUAAAGAUUUUAUUAGUAGUAGGAUGAAAAUAUGGGAAUAUAAACCAUGAAGUGAGAGGAAAUGCUAAAUGCUAUUCUCCUGGUUCACACGCAUCAGGUCUAACAAGGGGGCCUCUGGCUGUCACUGUAAUGUGAUUCACGUAAGAACCCCCUCUGAUUCACAUAAGAAUCAUCAAUGAUAGUUAUCCAGGGUCACCCAGGGUAAAUUAAAUCACAAAAGCCAUCGCUCAUGGUAUGUGAAUCCUUUUGAUGUUGGUCUGGUAAAAAUACUGCAUAUUUCAUGGUACUGAUCAGGAAAAACCCUCUCAAUAGUCACCUCCUCUGUGAACUGUCAAACUCCUAGACAUUUUAGUUUGGCCUCUUUCAUCUCAAGUGACCCAAAACUCCAAAUUCUAACCUCCUUGAAAAAUGUAUAUUUUAUUUCCAUGUUCCUUUCCAGUUCAGAACUCAAAAAACACUAACUCAACCAAUUUAUGGUAUUUUUUUUUUUUUUAAUGCACCCACCCUCCUAUACUCCUACAUGCCCCUGCUCCCUGUGCCCCUCCUCCAAACCCACCCACACACUGACAGGCCCAUUCCAGGAAGGGGUGCUUGAAACAAAGGCUUCUGUCCUUCUGGACCCUUAUUUACAGCCUGCACUUUGCUAAAUACCACAGAUCAGCAAACCUCACUCUGGAGCUGCGGCCUUUUUCCUAUGCACUGUCUGCUGUUUACUUGUUUUAAAAUAUUUCUACAACGCAUCCAUUGUUCUUCAUUCACCAUAUAAUUGUAUGAUGCAUUGGCAAGCAACUGCUCCUCAAUGAAUAAAAGUGUGUUUACGAAAGAAUAAUUGGAGUUGCUUGGCACAGGGAGCAGGCCUUGCCCAGGACCAGCUGAUGUAUGUUGCAAACACGGCUGUCCUCAGCCUUCUGCCCUGCUGAAUGUGCAUGUAGUCAGAAACUAUUCAUCCUGGGACCUCAGUUUCAGCUACAUAAGAAAGAGGGAUGCUUUCUUAUGCCAUAUGAUUUACUCAGUUGCUAGAACUAGGAAGUAAACAGACUUUAAUUUUACUUAAGUCACAAAAUUUAGAUUCAACUGGAAAGGUUUUAAAUAUGCCAUAACAGACAGUAGCUUAUUUGCUGGGAGUGUUCAUAUAACAUAGGGUUUGGGCCUAUAAAUAUCAGUAUAACAAACAUUGGGCUGUAUGGUCAAGAUGCUUCUGUGCUCCUCAUUCUAACAGAACCCAUUUUCACAAAAAGACUUGUUUAAGGACAAAGGCAGAAUAUCGUUUUCUGUUCUGAGGUCUCUCACGCCACAACCGUACUAUAUAUAAGUAUUUGAGUGACUGUACCACCCUUGUCUUGUUUUCUAGGAAUCUGUCCUGCCCACAGCUCAGCAGCAGGCCAUGUGACCAUAGCCUAUCCAAGCUGCAUCUGACUGGAUACGGGUGAAACUGACCCAAGGAAGGCCCAUCCCCAUGCUGGCUAGCAACUAUAAGUUGUGUGGCUUGGCUUAACUAGAUAAAUUAAGCCAAUCAGACUGCUCUACCAGGAAUUUGGAAUUAGAAAAUGGAGAGGCUGUUACUAGUUAGCUAUGGAUUGCUAAGUUUACAGAUCAUGUGGACUUGAGGGUUGUGGGUCCAUUUUGAGCUAAGGACAAGCAGAGGUAGCUGGUCUACAGAUCUGAAGAAGGGAGCAGACCGGCAGGAAGAUGCAGAGAUCAGAGACUUAGAGAUGAAGAGUGGGCUCCAUUUCUAGAAGCUUUCAUGCUCCCAUGAAGGCUGCCUCACUGCUGUUUCUUGUUCUUAGAUUCUCUGAGGUAUCUCCAUGUGUCAGCAACAAACUUUCUUUACCCAAAGUAUCUUGAGGAAGUAUCUGUUCCUGCAACUGAAACAAGUUCUGAACAAGACAACGACCCACAGAGGUUCUACAGGCUGAUCUUCUGCAGUACUAAUGACUACAGCAAAAAUGUCUAUGGUGAUAUGAAUUAAUAUAACACAAAGCGAAAAAAAAAAAAAAGACUUGCAAACC